RNAcentral lists this ribosomal RNA (465 nucleotides) under uncultured bacterium. Its description in RNAcentral is "partial 16S ribosomal RNA". It matches the Rfam family "Bacterial small subunit ribosomal RNA", at positions 28 to 507 of the family's 1533-position model. The record is from RNAcentral.
GACGAACGCUGGCGGCGUGCUUAACACAUGCAAGUCGAACGGAAAGGCCCCUUUGGGGGUACUCGAGUGGCGAACGGGUGAGUAACACGUGAGUAACCUGCCCUUGACUUCGGGAUAACUUCAGGAAACUGGGGCUAAUACCGGAUAGGAAUCCUUGCUGCAUGGUGGGGGUUGGAAAGCUUCGGCGGUUUUGGAUGGACUCGCGGCUUAUCAGCUUGUUGGUGGGGUAGUGGCUUACCAAGGCUUUGGCGGGUAGCCGGCCUGAGAGGGCGACCGGCCACAUUGGGACUGAGAUACGGCCCAGACUCCUACGGGAGGCAGCAGUGGGGAAUAUUGCACAACGGGCGGAAGCCUGAUGCAGCAACGCCGCGUGCGGGAUGACGGCCUUCGGGUUGUAAACCGCUUUCAGCAGGGGCGAAGCUUGUGGUGACGGUACCUGCAGAAGAAGCACCGGCUAACUACGUG